AACGAACGCUGGCGGCAUGCCUAACACAUGCAAGUCGAACGAGACCUUCGGGUCUAUUUGCGCACGGGUGCGUAACGCGUGGUAACCUGCCCUUAGGUUCGGUAUAACUCACUUAAAGGUGUGCUAAUACCAGUUAAUGUCUUCUCACCAAAGAUUUAUCGCCUUUUGGUGGGCCCGGGUUGGAUUAGCUGGUUGGUAGGGUAAAAGCAGAUCAAGGCGAGGAUCCAUAGCUGGUCUGAGAGGAUGAUCAGCCACACUGGGACUGAGACACGGCCCAGACUCCGACGGGAGGGAGCAGUGGGGAAUAUUGGACAAUGGGCGAAAGCGUGAUCCAGCAAUGCCGGGUGAGUGAUGAAGGCCUUAGGGUUGUAAAGCUCUUUUACACGGGAUGAUAAUGACAGUAACGGGAGAAUAAGCUCCGGCUAACUACGUG
This 433-nucleotide ribosomal RNA is filed under the name uncultured bacterium. RNAcentral describes it as "partial 16S ribosomal RNA". It matches the Rfam family "Bacterial small subunit ribosomal RNA", at positions 29 to 507 of the family's 1533-position model. The record is from RNAcentral.